GCCCAGACUCCUACGGGAGGCAGCAGUGGGGGAUAUUGGACAAUGGGGGGAACCCUGAUCCAGCGACGCCGCGUGAGUGAAGAAGUAUCUCGGUAUGUAAAGCUCUAUCAGCAGGGAAGAAAGAAAUGACGGUACCUGAGUAAGAAGCCCCGGCUAACUACGUGCCAGCAGCCGCGGUAAUACGUAGGGGGCAAGCGUUAUCCGGAUUCACUGGGCGUAAAGGGAGCGCAGGCGGCGCGGCAAGUCUGAUGUGAAAGCCCGGGGCUCAACCCCGGGUCUGCAUUGGAAACUGUCGAGCUAGAGUGUCGGAGGGGUAAGCGGAAUUCCUAGUGUAGCGGUGAAAUGCGUAGAUAUUAGGAGGAACACCAGUGGCGAAGGCGGCUUACUGGACUGUAACUGACGUUGAGGCUCGAAAGCGUGGGGAGCAAACAGGAUUAGAUACCCGGGUAU
This 450-nucleotide ribosomal RNA is filed under the name uncultured bacterium. RNAcentral describes it as "bacterial SSU rRNA". It matches the Rfam family "Bacterial small subunit ribosomal RNA", at positions 329 to 793 of the family's 1533-position model. The record is from RNAcentral.